RNAcentral lists this long non-coding RNA (1079 nucleotides) under Ursus americanus (American black bear). RNAcentral's name for it is "lncRNA (ENSUAMG00000026266.1)". The record is from RNAcentral. Lineage: Eukaryota; Metazoa; Chordata; Mammalia; Carnivora; Ursidae.
UUUCCGGGCAAUUUUCACAAAAAAAUAAAGUUACAAGAAAUUUUCCCCCAUAGGUCUCUGCCUACCGGAUAUCUGCUGAGGAACAAACCCGAAGCUGCUUCCUGAGGCUGGGUGGUCGGCUCUCCCCACCCAACCAGAGCCAGCCGGGCAGGACGGUUCUUGCUGAGCCUCAGGAGGGUCUUCACAGACAACUGAAGCAACGCGAAUGUCAAAUUUACAGAUGUCCUGAGUAUCCACAGCGAGACACAAACAAGUAGUGAAGCCACGUACCCCAUCGCUGCUUCAUCGUUCCACUGCAAUAAUUCCAGAUACGAUUAGUUGUGGCUACAGAGUUAAGCCCCGUUGUUAAUUAUUUUUUGGUAUUUUUUGGGGCCAAAGUCAUGGGCAUAGAAUUCAAAUGUUGUUCCUUUACUGCGGUCAGACUGAUCUCACAUGACGCGGUUUGCUUCUCUGACUCGUGUGUCCAUCUUCUCCCUUUUCUGUCAUUAUUAUUAGGCCAUUAUUGAAUUUCCAAGGCAUGACCCUUGUUAGGAAAUGAUGGAAACAACACAGUUGCUCUAUAAUCACCAAUUACGUUGUGACUUCUUACAAAUAAGCGCACUCAACUUUCAGCGUUACUCAUUCAUUGUAAAAUGGCCGCGGUGUGAUCAGGGGUAUCAGCUCACUUCACACAAUCAGAACUUGUUCGUCUGGGACGUCCUGAAUGAUGCCAAAACCUGUGCUCCAGAUGGGCGAGAGUGUGAACGAGAACCACCUCAGGAGAGCCUCCUGCCUGGAGCCCCGUGCCGAACUGUAUGGAGGGGGUGGGGGGCUGAGAGGGAAUAAGAGAGGUGACCUUGCCAUGUAGACUGUUCCUCUGAGAGUAAAGAGCCCGCUGGAGGGAGCUGUUCCGACUCUAGUGCUGGGCUCUCCAGUGGUCUCAGUUAGAACAGCAACAUUGCUCAGGCUCAGGCCGGUGGGAAAACGGCCGGAAUUCAGGAGCCUCCGGUUUUCUUUUUCAGAUUCCCCCAAAUGUCUCAUUUUUAAAAAAAAAAAUGAGUUCAUGCUUUUGUGAAUCAGGAUUGAAAUAAAGGCCAUAC